UGCUGCCUGUGUCGUGUCUUUCUGAGGA
RNAcentral lists this non-coding RNA (28 nucleotides) under Mus musculus (house mouse). Lineage: Eukaryota; Metazoa; Chordata; Mammalia; Rodentia; Muridae. The record is from RNAcentral.